Gorilla gorilla gorilla (western lowland gorilla) is the source of this 98-nucleotide unclassified non-coding RNA. It matches the Rfam family "Y RNA". From Rfam's summary of the family: Y RNAs are components of the Ro ribonucleoprotein particle (Ro RNP), in association with Ro60 and La proteins. The Y RNAs and Ro60 and La proteins are well conserved, but the function of the Ro RNP is not known. The record is from Ensembl. NCBI's taxonomy places the organism in Eukaryota, Metazoa, Chordata, Mammalia, Primates, Hominidae.
GGCUGGUCCAACUGCACUGGUAUUUACAACUAACUGAUCACAACCAGUUACAGAUUUCUUUGUUCCUUCUCCACUCCCACUGCUUCACUUGACUUUAA